GUUUUUAGAAGUACAUCCAGGAGUUCCUCCAGGAAUUGCUGCCCAAGUUCCUCAGGAUGGCGGUGAAGGCCUCGUUAGAACGGUGCGUAAUUUCGAGUCUCAAGAAGAGGUGGUCGUCGUUUACGACAAAGGCACUGCUAGCAACUAUUGGUGCGCGGACGCAUCUGAUCUUCGAAUCCUGGAUAGUGCCCCGACCGAAAUUAAACACGUGAGAACCAUGUACGACAGAUGCCGAUAAUUGCCAUAUGCUGGAAGUGUGCCGAGUGUAACAAUUACGAUCUGUGCUCGAUCUGCUAUCACGGAGAUAUGCAUCAUUUGAGGAAUCGGUUGCAUCGAAUUUUGACACCAGGUGGCGAAAAAACGCUGUUGGAACCGCAACGCAAAUUAAAAAACAUUGCAGUGCGGGGGAUUUUUCCUGGGGCACGUUUUGUCCGAGGAGUCGAUUGGCAGUAGGAAGAUCAGGACGGUGGUAAUGGCCGACGCGAAAAGGUCAAUGUAAUUCAGGACUGGUCUUCGGCUUCAACAAAUUCAGCUGCACUGCAACAAUUUGCUGUGGGUGAUUUUGUCGAGAUUUGCAGUGAUUUGGAGAGGAUCAAGUGGCAUUUUCAUCGACUGUUACUACAAAUGGAGAACGAUUGUCGGCACUUUUGGAAAAGUUAUUUGAACCACACGCGUCUGAUGAUACGACUGAAGAAUUGAUGAAGGCAGCCAAUGGUGAUGUUGCUAAGGAUUGAACCCAACUAUUCAGAAAAACCAGCUAGCAGAAGUUCGGGAGGAAUCCAAAUCCGUAGAGACGCAUAUUACGUAUAAGGAAAAAGGAAUAAAAAAAUAAUAAUCAGGUUCAACAGACUUGUACGAACUGCUCAAAAUGGUUCACAGUCUACUCUGGAAGUCAGCACACAAGAUCGAGCGUCUUCUAGCAUUCAUCCCUCUGGGUGCCAUUACGAAGGACUACAUAUAAUUAAAAAAUAAAAUAAAUAUAAAA
This 985-nucleotide long non-coding RNA is filed under the name Aedes aegypti (yellow fever mosquito). RNAcentral describes it as "lncRNA AAEL020453". The record is from RNAcentral. Lineage: Eukaryota; Metazoa; Arthropoda; Insecta; Diptera; Culicidae.